Molecule: ribosomal RNA, 301 nt
Filed under: uncultured bacterium
Lineage: Bacteria
Description: partial 16S ribosomal RNA
Rfam family: Bacterial small subunit ribosomal RNA
Source: RNAcentral
CAGUAGCCACGGUAAUACGUAGGGUGCGAGCGUUGUCCGGAAUUACUGGGCGUAAAGAGCUCGUAGGCGGUUUGUCGCGUCGUCUGUGAAAUUCUGCAGCUUAACUGUAGGCGUGCAGGCGAUACGGGCAGACUUGAGUACUACAGGGGAGACUGGAAUUCCUGGUGUAGCGGUGAAAUGCGCAGAUAUCAGGAGGAACACCGGUGGCGAAGGCGGGUCUCUGGGUAGUAACUGACGCUGAGGAGCGAAAGCGUGGGUAGCGAACAGGAUUAGAUACCCCUGUAGUCCCUGUCUCUUAUAC